CGAAACGACUUACCGAGUCUAGUAUAAGAAUGCAAGCACGUGGACUAAAAGCCUUUUGAUUCGUAGAUCCGGUAAAAUCACGUGAAAUACACGAGGUGAAGCGCAUGCGCAGUAGGAGAAUACCGGCUUGUCGACGAUGUGCUGUUGGAUGACACUCACGCCGGUGCUUUCAGACGCAAUCUGAAAGUAUAGGAGGUUAGAUCGCAUAAUUCGUGUUAACAACCAAGUAUCCACCUCCAAUAUCUUCUUGCGUUUAACAAAUUCUACGGUAAUAAAUCCGUAAGUGUAAAUUAAGAAAUAAAAAAAAAUGAUUAAAAAUUCGUGACAUUUUAAGAGAUUGGCACAAACGAUGCAUUGCUUCGUUUUCGCCACGUGAAUACUGCCGUCCGUCUUAUCGUUUAUAUACCAGUAAUAAUUUACUCCAUUCGUUCAUUUUGUUUUAUUUUACUUUAUUUCAACUUUUGGAAAUUAGUUUGAAUUCGAAGAAACAAAAUAUUUAGAUAGACAAGAAAAUCUACUAUAUUACAUAUUAUGUGCUUAUUUUAAAGAGAUUUAUCAAAUAUAAGUUUUAAAGAUCUUUCUAUUGAAGAUUUCAAAAACUAAAGAAAAAAGGUGACAAAAAGUAUAUAUAGAAAAUUGUGCGCAUUCAUAAAAAAAAGGAACGUGUGUGCAUAAAGGCUCGUCAUUCCCAACAAGAAGAAAAUCUAGUCUUUCUGUUUUAUUCCACUUUUUGGUGGAACGGUUGUCCAGUUCAAAAAAAGAUAUCUAAAUGUGUUCCAUAGCGAUACCAGCUGAACUGCUUCUGGGGCAUAGUCCUCCAGUGUAUAGUUCGCUGCUAUACAGUCCCUUGGUGGUAACGGCACCGACGAUUACUAGCAGGUCGGUACCACCCAGAAUAAGGCCAUGCCUGUCAUCUGGUUCCUUGGCCAUAAAUAACAUUCGAAACAAUAAUGAUGGCAGUAAUAAACAAAAGAAAAAAGUAGUGUUUGCCGAUGAUCGUGGCCGUCCUCUUACUCAGGUACGUGUGAUGUCGGAACCGAGUAAUGUACCACCUUUGUGGAGCACAGCUUAUCUGGCUGGAUUAACAGGGCGGCUUUUAAAUUCGAAAAUUGAGAAUGAUCAAUCUAUAGAACUCGUGUCACCUUGGCAAGUAACUUUCCCUCAACCGGCGAGCGAUUAUUUAGCCUUCCGUCAGAAACUUGAUCAGGAGAAUGUCAGCUUGGAAAACGUGAUAGUGAAAGAAUCGGAACAGUGUCUAGUAGGUACCAUCAAGGUACGUAAUCUGGCGUAUGACAAGGAAGUCGUGGUCAGGGUGAGCAACGAUUCUUGGAAGACACACGAGGACGUUCAUUGCACUUAUGUUGAACAACCGGGUUCUCCGGCCCUGAUUCUUUACGAUACCUUCCGCUUUCGAUUAACUCUACCAUUGAAAUCAAACGUGAUAGAAUUCUGUGUACGAUAUCGAACCGAUGGAAAAGAAUAUUGGGACAACAACGAGGAAAAGAAUUUUAUCGUUCGAAAAAAGUUAGAGCCACGAGCACCACCCAAACGGUACGAUAUUCUGACAACGUGCGAUGGCUUUUCGAAGAAUAAUAACCGAGAUAGUAUACCACGAAUCACAGAUGCAACAAAAGCGAACGUACGCACGUGGAGCGAGUUCGCAUCCUGGCAGCAUCUUGCGAAUGAUGCUCCAUACUGGUGAAUCUUUGUCACUGGUCACAAACGAUGUACGUAUGUCGUACGAAUUCUUCCAAUCUAUUUGGUUUAAAGAUCACAAGAUGUAGACCAUGCGGGACGAGGUGGCAAUAUAUCUACGCAACGGCAUGCAUAAGAUUGUCGUACGAAAACAUCGUGUAAUAUUUACACGAUAGCGUAUAUAAGUGUGGACAUCAAGAUCAAGAGAACGCAGAAAAGAGCAAUGAUAAAAAGAAGGGAAGCGAUGGACUGUGAUUAAGUUCAAAUUAUAAAAAGACAUGCUUGAACGGAAGAAAAAGACAAUAAUCAGAAGUCGAUAGCGCGGAACAGGCGAGAAAGGAGGCACUAGUCGCGUUACAUUUAUGAUUGCAACGUGCAGAACAGACAUAUAUAGUGUAUAUGGAACACAGGAACACACAAUAACCGUGUAAGAGAGACAAUGCAAACAAAUACUAAAGAUCAUGGAUCUGGA
Molecule: unclassified non-coding RNA, 2167 nt
Filed under: Apis dorsata (giant honeybee)
Lineage: Eukaryota; Metazoa; Arthropoda; Insecta; Hymenoptera; Apidae
Description: protein phosphatase 1 regulatory subunit 3C-B, transcript variant X1
Source: RNAcentral